UGAACUCUGCUGGCCUUUCAUUUGGUGGAGGAGCCGGAAAGUACCUUGCCGAAUGGAUGGUACAUGGUUAUCCCUCAGAAAACGUUUGGGAAUUGGACCUGAAACGUUUUGGAGCCCUCCAGAGCAGCCGCACCUUUCUGCGCCACCGGGUCAUGGAAGUCAUGCCUUUGAUGUAUGAUCUGAAGGUUCCCCACUGGGACUUCCAGACCGGUAGGCAGUUACGCACCUCUCCUCUCUACGACCGGCUGGAUGCACAGGGAGCCAGGUGGAUGGAGAAACAUGGAUUUGAGAGGCCAAAGUACUUUGUUCCCCCUGACAAGGGCUAGAAUGUGUUCACAGAAGAAAAAGAACCACGUGGACUACACUAAACUCUACAGGGCCUUGUGAUUUUUCCAUUCCGUAGACCUCCUGGCAUUGGAGCAGAGCAAGACUUUCUAUAAGCCAGAUUGGUUUGACAUCGUGGAGUCUGAAGUCAAGUGCUGUAAGGAAGCUGUGUGUGUCAUUGACAUGUCCUCUUUCACAGAGUUUGAGAUAACAACCACUGGGGAUCAGGCAUUAGAAGUUCUACAGUACCUCUUCUCCAAUGACCUGGAUGUGCCUGUGGGCCACAUUGUGCAUACUGGCAUGCUCAACGAGGGUGGAGGGUAUGAAAAUGACUGCAGCAUAGCACGACUGAACAAGCGCAGUUUCUUCAUGAUCUCUCCAACCGACCAGCAGGUCCACUGUUGGGCCUGGCUUAAGAAACACAUGCCGAAAGACAGCAACCUGCUCCUGGAGGACGUCACCUGGAAGUACACAGCCCUCAAUCUGAUUGGCCCUCGAGCUGUGGAUGUGCUGUCUGAGUUGUCCUAUGCCCCUAUGACUCCAGACCACUUCCCAAGCCUCUUUUGCAAG
Homo sapiens (human) is the source of this 894-nucleotide long non-coding RNA. NCBI's taxonomy places the organism in Eukaryota, Metazoa, Chordata, Mammalia, Primates, Hominidae. The record is from Ensembl.